Molecule: long non-coding RNA, 182 nt
Organism: Ipomoea nil (Japanese morning glory)
Lineage: Eukaryota; Viridiplantae; Streptophyta; Magnoliopsida; Solanales; Convolvulaceae
Exons: 3
Source: RefSeq, a predicted model, not a curated record
UUGUGAGGUUUUACAUGUGUUGGAAAGCAUGUAAAGAAGGAUAUAAGUACUGCAGGCCUAUAAUUGGGGUGGAUGGGUGUCAUUUAAAGGGACUACAUGGUGGGCAGUUGCUGUUAGCCAUUGGUGUAGAUGGGAAUGACAGUGUGUUUCCCCUAGCUUAUGCAGUAGGGUAAGGUGAGAGA